Molecule: transfer RNA, 74 nt
Filed under: Blattella germanica (German cockroach)
Lineage: Eukaryota; Metazoa; Arthropoda; Insecta; Blattodea; Blattellidae
Description: tRNA-Ile (AAT) (tRNA-Ile-AAT-28-1)
Rfam family: tRNA
About the family: Transfer RNA (tRNA) molecules are approximately 80 nucleotides in length.
Source: RNAcentral
GGUCUGUUAGCUUAGUUGGUUAGAGCGUGGUGCUAAUACCGCCAAGGACGUGGGUUCAAACCCCACACGGGCCA